GGACCUAGGAGACCUAGGAUAGUAAACCGUAAGGACUUACACUCGUGAGAGACGAGGACUUGUACGUGUGGCGAAAGAUAAAUCGAUUGGGUCAAGUUUAGUAAACCUCUAUGACGGAUAUUAGAGGUAGAUUCAAGGUUCAAUUUAUUCUCAGCCAAGUGAGUUCAUGUUGGGUCGACACAACAUGAAACCGAGGGAUGGGAAUAAACUUCCUUGCAUGACUUUCGCCCGAUUUGAGUCGGUAUUAAUUAUUUCGUAUUCGACCCAGGAGGUCGAGGACUAACUGAGUUGUCGUGUUUCAGGAAGCGAUGGCGCCGCGUAGGCGAUCUUCGUCUAGAUCGGCGCGGGAUAGGACAAGUGGUGUCCCUGAGAAGACUGAGGCGAGCGGAGACUUGGAGCUUCGUGAGCAGUUGACCACACUCGUGGGAGUGGUGAGGCAACAGGCGGAUGUAGUGCAGCGUCAGCAGGACGCUGCUCUGCGCCAAGAUGAGCGGAUAAAGAGACUCCAGGAGACGGUGGAUCAGUUAGUGACUGCACCAGUUUUGGCUCGUCGUGUACGGCCAGGAGUCGCAGCGGAGGCAUUCCAGUCGGGCUCGAGCAAUCCGACUGCUCUUAGUUCAGAGAUGGAAGCGGAAAGGGAGCGUGCUUUGGCGGCUCUCAUGACCUUCAAGAAGUUUGAUCCUACUACUUUCGAUGGAGAGGACAUAGAUCCAUGGACUGUGGAGUCGUGGAUUGAUUCCAUAGAGACUGUCUUCGAGGAUUUGUACAUGGUGGAGCGGGACAAGGUACACCUAGCCGUGCAUUGUCUACAAUUGUCGGCGAAGGAAUGGUGGAAAGGCGUUAAACGGAACCGAUCGCCUAGUCUCCCUCCGAUGACUUGGCAAGAAUUUCGGGAGUUGAUACUUUCAGUUUAUUUCCCCGAUAGUGAAAAGAGAAAGCUUCGGGACAGAUUUCGAAAAUUGCGGCAGGGAGACCGCCUUGUGAGGGAAUACGAGCAGGAAUUCUCUCGUAUCGUGAACUAUAUUCCAAGUGUGGUACGGGACGACAAGGAUCGAGCUGAUUGUUUUGUACGAGGACUUCGGCCUGGUAUUUUUGAAGCAGUGCAUAAUCUAAAGUUGCAGACUUUUGCUGAAGUCUUGGAUCGGGCCUUAUGGAUAGAACAAGGCAAUGCAUCGGUGCAGGAGGAGCGCGAAUCUUAUUACAAGGAAAAAGGAAAAGAACGACCAGCGAGUGGGUAUGAUGGUCAGUCAAGUUCUCAGCGGACCACUGGGAGUUCGCGCUCGCGAUCCCGAGCUCCGGGGACGUAUCGCAGUCGAUCCUCGGCAUGUUGUGUUAUUUGUGGGGGUCCUCACUACCCACAGCAGUGUGAGCAACGAGAUGGCAAGUGCUUCAGGUGUGGGCGGCCAGGUCAUGCGCGGGACGAGUGUCCACGAGGUGCUAACCAAGCCUUGACGCUGGCGACGGCAUUUUCACCUGCGGCACGGUUUGGAGAGCGACAGAGGAUAAGGCAACCGAGGGGUUCGCGAUGGGCAACAAGUGGUCGUGGAUAGGCGACCCAUGCGGUGGAACCUGCUGCGACUGGUAGUAAUGUAGCAGGAUAGAAGUCCUAAUGUGAAAUUGACCGCGUACAAACCUAAUUGAGGGUAAAGGAAACGCGUUGGCGAAGUCGGUUCGGCAAUCCGUCGAGCCUACGCGAAGAUAUCGCCGAAAGAAGAUUUUUCGGCUACAAUUGGCACGAGCGCGGGUCGCGAAUCUCGGGAAAGCGCGGGAAGCGAAUUUCUCGCGUCCAGGUAUCAACUAAAGGUUAGCACGUGAGCGGCGCGGCGGCGCGAGGACAGGGCGUAGCUCCGUAGAUAGCGCCCUACCACCGAGACCAGAGAUAGCAGUACCUUGAAGUGGUCUAGCAUCAGAGUUUAGAGUGUAAAUUGAAAGAAUCAAAUUUGUAGUAAAUUGUAUAAGUUGUAAAUUGUAUAAAGGCUUAUGUAAUAACUUAAAGGUAUUUGAGAUUUUGUAAAUGUAAAAUCUGUGAGAUGAAUGCUUGUAAUAGCAUUGUUAGCCUUUUA
Ananas comosus (pineapple) is the source of this 2063-nucleotide RNA transcript. RefSeq lists it as uncharacterized. Lineage: Eukaryota; Viridiplantae; Streptophyta; Magnoliopsida; Poales; Bromeliaceae. The record is from RefSeq and is a predicted model, not a curated record. The transcript is spliced from 3 exons.